AUCCAAGGAAGGCAGCAGGCGCGCAAAUUACCCACUCCCGGCACGGGGAGGUAGUGACGAAAAAUAACAAUACGGGACUCUUUUGAGACCCCGUAAUUGGAAUGAGUACACUCUAAAUCCUUUCACGAGGAUCCAUUGGAGGGCAAGUCUGGUGCCAGCAGCUGCGGUAAUUCCAGCUCCAAUAGCGUAUAUUAAAGUUGUUGCGGUUAAAAAGCUCGUAGUUGGAUCUCAGUUCCAGGCGGGUGGUCCCCCUACCGGGGGUUACUGCUUGUACUGAACAGCCAGCCGGUUUCUCUUGAUGAUCUUCACCGGUUGUCUUGGGUGACCGGCAAGUUUACUUUGAAAAAAUUAGAGUGCUCAAAGCAGGCGUGACGCCUGAAUAAUGGUGCAUGGAAUAAUGGAAUAGGACCUCGGUUCUAUUUUGUUGGUUUUCGGAACACGAGGUAAUGAUUAAGAGGGACAGACGGGGGCAUUCGUAUUGCGACGCUAGAGGUGAAAUUCUUGGACCGUCGCAAGACGAACUACUGCGAAAGCAUUUGCCAAGAAUGUUUCCAUUAAUCAAGAACGAAAGUUAGAGGUUCGAAGGCGAUCAGAUACCGCCCUAGUUCUAACCAUAAACGAUGCCAGCCAGCGAUCCGGCUGUGUUCCUCAAAUGACACGCCGGGCAGCUUCCGGGAAACCAAAGCUUUUGGGUUCCGGGGGAAGUAUGGUUGCAAAGCUGAAACUUAAAGGAAUUGACGGAAGGGCACCACAAGGAAUGGAGCCUGCGGCUUAAUUUGACUCAACACGGGGAAACUUACCCGGCCCGGACACAGGAAGGAUUGACAGAUUAAGAGCUCUUUCUUGAUUCUGUGGGUUGUGGUGCAUGGCCGUUCUUAGUUGGUGGAGCGAUUUGUCUGGUUAAUUCCGAUAACGAACGAGACUCUAGCCUACUAAAUAGGCGUUCCGAUCAUCUCUGUCGGACGCUCUUCUUAGAGGGACAAACGGCUUCUAGCCGUACGAGACGGAGCAAUAACAGGUCUGUGAUGCCCUUAGAUGUCCGGGGCCGCACGCGCGCUACAUUGAAGGAAUCAGCGUGUGCUUUCCCUGUCCGACAGGACUGGGUAACCCGUUGAACCUCCUUCGUGCUGGGGAUAGCAAAUUGCAAUUGUUUUGCUUGAACGAGGAAUUCCUCGUAAGCGCGAAUCAUUAAUUCGUGUUGAUUAGGUCCCUGCCCUUUGUGCACACCGCCCGUCGCUACUACUGAUUGAAUGAUUUAGUGAGGUCUUCGGACUGGCUCCCUCAGCGGCCCUCGUGGUCGCGGAGGCGAUUCGGAAAGAUGACCAAACUUGAUCAUUUAGAAGAAGUAAA
Molecule: ribosomal RNA, 1350 nt
Filed under: Desognaphosa yabbra
Lineage: Eukaryota; Metazoa; Arthropoda; Arachnida; Araneae; Trachycosmidae
Description: SSU rRNA
Rfam family: Eukaryotic small subunit ribosomal RNA
Source: RNAcentral